AUGAAGGGUCCAACUCCAUUAUCUUCUUUGAUUCAUGAAGCUACUAUGGUCACUACUCACGUUUUCAUGAUAGCAAGCUUUGAUUGAUAUCAUCAUUGUGGCAACCACUGGAAUAUCAUAGAAUGAUCUAACGAGGGUCAUAACUUAUCCAACUUGCAGUCAAUUAGGCUACAUGAUCUUUCCUUGCGGCAUGUCUUACUAUUCCAUUAG
This 210-nucleotide ribosomal RNA is filed under the name Triticum aestivum (bread wheat). RNAcentral's name for it is "partial small subunit ribosomal RNA". Lineage: Eukaryota; Viridiplantae; Streptophyta; Magnoliopsida; Poales; Poaceae. The record is from RNAcentral.